GUAACUGGGGAAGCCAAUUGCCUGGCAGUGUCUGGAAAAUACAUCUUUGUUGGUCUGUGCGUGGAUAUGGCUGCCUUCAGGAUGUUUGACUGUGAGCAGGUCAGUGCUUGGGAUGUAGUCAAGACAGAGGUUUGUGCCAUCAGCUCCACAGAGUUAGGGAAUGGGAACCACACUGCGCAGGCUGUGGAUGGAAUUGGUGAGUGGGACAUGGGUUUCCCCAUCUUGACUUGCGGGUCGCUGUGCUGAAAAGUUGGCAGCUACUUUAUGGAAGGGUGCUAAAUCAGGAGGAGUGUGAGUAUGGCUGACAGGUUUCCUAGAAAGCCCUGCAGAGAAAGGUGUUAGAUAACAGAUUGUAAGGUGAUAGAGUGGCCCUAGGGCCUUGGGAUUAGAAAAGGGUGUGGGUUCGGUGUCCUGACUGGAACAGCAAAGGCAGAUGUGGAGCUGAGGCUGAAGUGCAAUAUAUUUUAGGAAUACAUUGGACCAGACAGAAAAAAGCAUUGUUAAGUGUCACCUCUUGCCUCUGCUUUGUUUCAGUAUCUGUAAUUGCACAGUCCCGUGGUAAAUAGGUUUGUUUCUUGAUUCAUCUGAAACCUGUCAUUUCUGGCAGAGAUAGCUUUCAAAAUCCAUUAUGCAUUGCUGAGUACAAUCGAGUGCUUGCUGGUGUUGACAUAAGGAAGCCAAUGAAAGUUUAUUGCUGGAAGCAGUGGGAUAUUCUUCCACCUGCCCAGGAAAAAAAUAUAGCCUUGUUCACACCCCAGCACGUUAUAACAGCCCUCUCUCAAGAGCACAGCUGCCAUCUGUUCACUUUCCUUCUGCAAAAUCUGUAUUUCCAUUGCAGGGCUUGUUUGACUCUUCUGCUUUCACAAGGAAACUUCCUGCUCAUUAAAAUCCUAAACGAGGUGGUCUUUCCCCAGGUCUUGCUCUUGCAAGCAGUGACAGCAAGAUACAGGCUGAACGAGUCUGGCAGCCCAUAUGCGUCUCUGCAGCUGCUCCAGCCACCCAGCCCACAUUGCACAAGGCCUUUGUGCUACUGGAACAUGUGUACUCUCCCAGGACAUGCUUUCCAACAGGAUUCCUUUGGUCCCAGGGCCAGCAUUCCUGCUGCCCCUCCCUGA
Molecule: long non-coding RNA, 1115 nt
Filed under: Phasianus colchicus (ring-necked pheasant)
Lineage: Eukaryota; Metazoa; Chordata; Aves; Galliformes; Phasianidae
Description: lncRNA (ENSPCLG00000004844.1)
Source: RNAcentral